This 497-nucleotide ribosomal RNA is filed under the name uncultured bacterium. Its description in RNAcentral is "partial 16S ribosomal RNA". It matches the Rfam family "Bacterial small subunit ribosomal RNA", at positions 28 to 507 of the family's 1533-position model. The record is from RNAcentral.
GAUGAACGCUGGCGGCGUGCCUAAUACAUGCAAGUCGAGCGAACAGACGAGGAGCUUGCUCCUCUGACGUUAUCGGCGGACGGGUGAGGAACACGGGGAUAACCUACCUAUAAGACUGGGAUAACUUCGGGAAACCGGAGCUAAUACCGUAUAACAUGUUGAACCGCAUGGUUCAACCGUGAAAGACGGUCUUUCUGUCACUUAUAGAUGGAUCCGCCCCGCAUUAGUUAGUUGGUAAGGUAACGGAUUAGCAAGGCAACGAUGGGUAGCCGCCCUGAAGGGGUGAAUGGCCAGACUGGAUGUGAGACACGUCCGAGACUCCGAGGGGGGGAAGCAGUAGGGACUCUUCCGCAAUGGGGGAAAGCCUGAUGGAGCAACGCCGCGUGAGUGAAGAAGGUCUUCGGAUCGUAAAACUCUGUUAUUAGGGAAGAACAAAUGUGUAAGUAACUAUGAACGUCAUGACGGUACCUAAUCAGAAAGCCCCGGCUAACUACGUG